AUUGAUAAGUUUGAAGUGAAAUCCUAUAGCUUAACUAUAGAACUGCUUUGAAAACUGUUAAUCUAGAAUGUGGGAGAGGUAGAUGGAAUUUCUGGUGUAGGGGUAAAAUCCGUAGAGAUCAGAAGGAAUACCGAUUGCGAAGGCGAUCUACUGGAACAAUAUUGACGCUGAGACGCGAAAGCGUGGGGAGCAAACAGGAUUAGAUACCCUGGUAGUCCACGCCCUAAACGAUGUACACUAGUUGUUGUGAGGCUCGACCUUGCAGUAAUGCAGUUAACACAUUAAGUGUACCGCCUGGGGAGUACGGUCGCAAGAUUAAAACUCAAAGGAAUAGACGGGGACCCGCACAAGCGGUGGAGC
RNAcentral lists this ribosomal RNA (360 nucleotides) under uncultured Arcobacter sp. Its description in RNAcentral is "bacterial SSU rRNA". It matches the Rfam family "Bacterial small subunit ribosomal RNA", at positions 579 to 938 of the family's 1533-position model. Lineage: Bacteria; Pseudomonadati; Campylobacterota; Epsilonproteobacteria; Campylobacterales; Arcobacteraceae. The record is from RNAcentral.